GAUGAAGAACGUAGUGAAAUGCGAUACUUGGUGUGAAUUGCAGAAUCCCGUGAACCAUCGAGUCUUUGAACGCAAGUUGCGCCCGAAGCCAUUAGGCCGAGGGCACGCCUGCCUGGGCGUCACACGUCGUUGCCCCCCAUCUACUCCUUCGGGAUUGCGGGGGGCGGAUGAUGGCCUCCCGUGCGCCUCGUCGCGCGGUUGGCAUAAAUGCCAAGUCCUCGGCGACGCACGCCACGACAAUCGGUGGUUGCGAAACCUCGGUUGCCCGUCGUGUGCGGUCGUCGCGCAUCGAGGGCUCGAAAAAAUUGCCGGGCUCCGGCUCGGCUUUCAACGCGACCCCAGGUCAGGCGGGGUUACCCGCUGAAUUUAAGCAUAUCAAUAAGCGGAGGA
RNAcentral lists this unclassified non-coding RNA (390 nucleotides) under soil metagenome. Its description in RNAcentral is "partial contains 5.8S ribosomal RNA, internal transcribed spacer 2, and large subunit ribosomal RNA". The stretch from base 1 to 122 matches the Rfam family "5.8S ribosomal RNA", at positions 35 to 154 of the family's 154-position model. The record is from RNAcentral.